GCGCAGGGCCGAAGCGAGGGGAGCGCUCGGAGGCGCUUUCCGCGCAGGAAGCGGCUUGCGCGCCCUGAGCCUUGGAGAGGUCGGGGGCGCUGCGCCCUAGCGCACGGGCCGCUCCCCGGCUCAGGCAGCAGGGCCGCGGGGUGGCGUCCUGUGCCGCCGCCGCCGCUGGCGGGAGGGAGAAGCCGCUCAGUCCCCGGGGCCGUCUCCGCGCCCUGGAGCCGAGCCGGUGGGCGGGGAGGGAGCCCAAGCGCGGCGCAGCCCGGCGAUGGUGCCCGGCUCCCGGCGGCGGCGGCGCCCGGGGGGAGCCUAGCGGCGGCGCCCCGGGAGGCGAAGGAGAGCCCCCCCCCCCAGUGCCGGGGGGCAAGGCGGCUGGGAGCUGCGCGCCGGUGGGGCGGGGGGCGGUGGGAAGCUUGUGGCCGGCCCUGGCGCUGCUCCGCCCGCCGCAGUAGUUUUCUGCAGGGGCUUGUACUGUCCGGCUGCCUGACACCCUGAGCCGCCUCCGCCUCGCAAUGUUUCGCUGGAGCAUUAAUCGCUUUUGUGCUGGCGAAGAGAAACGAGUUGGUACACGCACCGUGUUUGUUGGCCAACGCCCAGUUUCAGAAACAGAUGCUUACUUCGAGCAGAAAUUCUGUGAUAAUAGAAUUGUCUCAUCCAAGUACACUGUCUGGAAUUUUCUUCCGAAGAAUCUAUUUGAACAGUUUAGAAGAAUUGCCAACUUUUAUUUCCUUAUCAUUUUCCUUGUGCAGGUCAUAGUAGACACACCAACCAGCCCAGUAACCAGUGGACUUCCACUUUUCUUUGUGAUUAUUGUUACAGCUAUCAAACAGGGCUAUGAGGACUGGCUGAGACACAGAGCGGACAAGGAAGUAAAUAAAAGCAGCGUCUUCAUUGUUGAAAAUGCAAAGCAAGUGAAAAAACACAGCGAAAAAAUCAAGGUUGGAGACAUUGUAGAAGUGAAAGCAGACGAAACCUUCCCCUGUGAUCUGAUAUUCUUGGCAUCGAGUAAUGACGAUGGGAUCUGCUACGUCACGACGGCAAGUCUGGAUGGCGAGUCGAAUUUCAAGACUCAUUACGCAGUGCGAGAUACUAUUGGGCUCCUGUCAGACGACGACAUCGACUCCCUUACUGCCACAAUUGAAUGUGAGCAGCCUCAACCUGACCUCUACAGAUUUGUUGGAAGAAUUAACAUCUACAGAAGUAACCAGGAGCCUGUAGCCCGGUCUUUGGGUCCCGAAAGCCUGCUGCUGAAGGGUUCUACUUUAAAAAAUACAAAGAAGAUUUAUGGAGUUGCGGUUUAUACUGGAAUGGAAACAAAAAUGGCUUUGAACUACCAAGGAAAAUCACAAAAACGUUCAGCUGUAGAAAAAUCAAUCAACGCCUUCUUGAUGGUAUAUUUAUGCAUCUUAGUGAGUAAAGCUAUGGUGUGCACCACUCUGAAAUACAUCUGGCAGAGUAAUCCAUUUAAUGAUGAGCCAUGGUAUAACCAAAAGACAAAAAAAGAAAGGGAUACGUUCAAGAUCUUAAGAAUGUUCACAGACUUCCUGUCGUUUAUGGUUCUGUUCAAUUUCAUUAUCCCGGUCUCCAUGUAUGUUACUGUAGAAAUGCAAAAAUUCUUGGGCUCCUUCUUUAUUGCUUGGGAUAAGGAGAUGUAUGAUGAAGAAAUCCAGGAAGGAGCACUGGUGAAUACCUCGGACCUCAACGAAGAACUUGGUCAGGUCGAGUAUGUGUUCACAGACAAAACUGGAACCCUUACUGAAAACAACAUGAAGUUCAUUGAGUGCUGCAUAGAUGGACACAAGUACAGAGGCGGAAUUUCAGAGGUGGAUGGGUUCUCUCACACGGACGGACCCAUGACAUAUUAUGGGAAAGCACUAAAGUGUCGAGAAGAGCUGUUCCUCCGUGCUUUGUGUCUGUGCCAUACAGUUCAAAUCAAAGAAGGAGACAAUGUAGAUGGAUUGAUAGUAAACCAGGAGCGCAGAACCUAUAUCUCCUCUUCACCAGAUGAAAUAGCUUUGGUAAAAGGUGCCAAAAAGUAUGGUUUCACUUUUCUAGGACAUGAAAAUGAUUUCAUGAAAGUACAAAACCAAAAGAACGAAAUCGAAAAGUAUCAGCUUCUUCAUGUAUUAAACUUUGAUCCUGUCCGCCGCCGGAUGAGUGUUGUUGUGAAAACCAGUGCAGAAAAGUUCCUCCUAUUCUGUAAAGGAGCAGACUCUUCUAUUUUUCCAAGAGUACAACAAGAUGAAAUACAACAAACUAAAGUGCAUGUAGAACGUAAUGCAAUGGAUGGAUAUCGAACUCUUUGUGUGGCCUUCAAAGAACUAACUCAAGAGGACUAUAAAAAAAUUGAUGGACAGCUCAGUGAAGCAAAAAUGGCUCUACAGGACAGAGAAGAAAAGAUGGCCAGGAUUUUUGAUGACAUAGAGACCGACAUGCAUUUGAUUGGGGCUACUGCUGUGGAAGACAGACUUCAGGAGCACGCAGCGGAAACCAUCGAGGCCCUGCAAACAGCAGGCAUGAAGGUCUGGGUGCUUACUGGGGACAAGAUGGAAACUGCAAAAUCUACCUGCUAUGCCUCCAAGCUCUUCCAGACAAACACCGAAUUACUGGAGCUGACCGCAAAAACGAUGGGAGACAGCAACAGGAAAGAGGAUCGAUUACACGAGCUGUUGCUAGAGUAUCAUAAAAAGCUGCUGCAGGAUUUCCCCAAAAAUAGCGGAAAGCUUAAAAGGAGCUGGACAGUGAGUCAAGAAUAUGGACUGAUUAUAGAUGGCUCGACGCUGUCGCUGAUAUUAAAUCCUUCCCAGGAUACCAGUUCCAGUAAUUACAAAAGCAUUUUUCUACAGAUUUGCCUGAAAUGUGCUGCAGUUCUAUGUUGUCGGAUGGCUCCUUUGCAGAAAGCCCAGAUUGUUAGAAUGGUGAAAAACACCAAGGGCAAUCCAAUAACACUAUCAGUAGGAGAUGGUGCCAAUGAUGUUAGCAUGAUCUUGGAAGCACAUGUCGGAAUAGGUAUAAAAGGCAAAGAAGGUCGUCAGGCAGCAAGAAACAGUGACUAUGCUGUUCCAAGGUUUAAACAUUUAAGAAAAUUGCUACUAGCACAUGGGCAUUUAUAUUACGUGAGAAUAGCACACCUUGUACAGUAUUUUUUCUAUAAGAACCUUUGCUUCAUUUUACCACAAUUUUUAUACCAGUUCUUCUGUGGAUUCUCGCAACAGCCUCUGUAUGAUGCUGCUUACCUUACAAUGUACAACAUCUGCUUCACAUCACUACCUAUCCUGGCCUACAGUCUACUGGAGCAGCAUAUAAACAUUGAAACUCUGACCUCAGAUCCAAGAUUGUAUAUGAAAAUUUCCGAUAAUGCCAUGUUACAGUGGAAGCCUUUCUUAUACUGGACCUUUCUGGGCGCCUUUGAAGGACUUGUGUUUUUCUUUGGAGUUUACUUUCUUUUUCAAAAUUCAUCAUUAGAAGAUAAUGGAAAGGUUUUUGGGAACUGGACGUUUGGAACUAUUGUUUUCACUAUAUUAGUGUUCACCGUCACUCUGAAGCUAGCGUUAGAUACUCGAUUCUGGACCUGGAUGAACCACUUUGUGAUUUGGGGCUCCUUAGCCUUUUAUGUCUUUUUCUCGUUCUUUUGGGGAGGAAUCAUUUGGCCUUUCUUGAAGCAGCAACGAAUGUAUUUUGUAUUUGCUCAUAUGGUGACGUCCGUCUCAGCCUGGCUGGCCAUAGUUCUCCUUAUCUUUAUCAGCCUUUUCCCAGAGAUUCUUCUAGUAGUUUUUAAAAAUGCGAAAAGGAAAAACCAUCAGACUGUACCCUUUAAUCUGCCUAUGCUAUUGUCCUACAAACCUAUGGAGAAUGGUUACAUUUCUGAAACGAAGAUCGAAGAUGCAGUUACUAACUUGACACAACAAUACCAUCUCAGGGUACCUCAAAUGCAACAACUUUAAACACUGCUCCUUGUCGUGCCACAGGACAAGCCGUGUGUUUGAACUCACAGUUCUCCUUUAAAAUAACACAUGUAUUGUAAGCAGCUGCGGCCCUCAUUUUUUCAAAGUCUGAAAAUGGAAAAGUCUGGGACAUAAGAAGGCCAUGGAAUCGGGAGUGGAGAAAAGGAUGUCUAGAAUUCCAUAAAAAUGGAACAAUAGUAACUUUAGAGACACAUGGAUGCUCCUUAUGCCCACUGAAAAGAAGGAGGUUCCUCCAUUACAGAUUCAUCCAAUAGCAGUGAAUGGCCACUAAAGUCUUAUUCUUUUGCCUGACCAAAGAAGUAGCACAGCCUUUCUGCUUAAUCACAGUCUUAUCCAACUCCCAUGGAAGACAUUGGAAAGGCUCCCAUCAUGGAAGUUGGGUUGGACCCGAAAUUAGAACCGUGUUCUGUCGUCUCGCACAGCUCCCAUGGCUGCUAGUGAGAGCUGUGCACCAGCUGCUGAAGCCAGGAAGUGAUUGUUAGAAAAGUUCAGCUUUCAAAUCCACGCAGCAGAACUACUUGAAAAUAUUGACGGACUGAGCUGUUGAUGGCGUGAAAUGUCCAGUGGCGAACAGCAGGGUUAGAGCUGUUAAAUGUUCUCUGUUUAUUAAAAUGCAGAAGUGUGUGUCAGCCUGAACAUUUCUGAGGAGCUGAUCAAAAUAUUUGAAGAGUUUUCAUGUGGCAAGACUUCUUUUCCACGUUACCAGAUUUGUUUCUGGAACAGGAGGAAGACAUAAUAACUAACUCUCUCCCCUUCUGUAUUAAAAAUACACAGAAUUCCUUUAUUACUCAUAAAAAAAAAUAGUCUUAGUCAGGAAAGAAUCUUAAAUAAAAGUUGUGUUGUGGCAGGUUUUCAGCCCAAGCUUAACUGGGCCUCUGUAGUUAUGCUCACACUUCUGUGAAUGUAAUUGCAGUUGUUUCGACACCUUAAAGACCCGAAUGGUAGUCACAACCAGGCCCUUAAGUGACCCAUUGACAUUGAUUGUGCUUGCAAAUAAUACCAGAUAAAUCUGCAACCUUCAUUAUCUGCAUCAACAAAAAGGGAGGUCAGUUUAAAAAUAAGUGAAUAAAUGCAUCUGGUUCUCUGAGUAACAUUUUACUAGGUUCUAAAAUCAGCAGAUUUUUUAAAAAAAUUGCAGGUUAAGAUGUUGAUUUAAUGCCAUGUGUGCACAGCAUAAAGGUAAAUUGCUGGGCAACCAACUUCUGUUUGUUUUUUAUUAUGCAGGAAAACAAUACUACUUUGAUUAUAAAAAGUCCCGAGUGAGCACACUGAGUGAGAUUAAGUGCAAUUGGCAUUUUAUUUUUUGAAUGAUAUUUUUCCACCAGGUUGACUUCCCCAUCAUCCUGUAUGGCCCAGGUUUCCCUGUGCCAUAUAAAGCGGGAAAAAAAGACUUGGGGUAAAAAUUUUCAAAGUAUGUAAGUCCCAUUUUCUUGGGCUCCCAAGUCUUAUUGCAAGUCAAUGGGACUUAGGCUCCCAAGUCACUUGGGCACUUUUGACAAUUUUACCUUUAGGCUUUGCUUUGCUCAUGCACAAAGAGACUAGAAAUUAGGGCUGGACAGAAAAUUCCCAUCACCAUGAAAUAUCGAUGAACAACAGAAAAGAAUUUUGCAAAAAAUAAUUGUCCAUUCCCUCCCUUCAGAAACUUUGGAAACUCUAAACCUGUAAAGGAGUUGGCACUACUGUUAUCAGAAAGCUACGCACCUGAUUGUAUGCCUGGUAAUAGACUUGGUUUUUAAAAACACUGACCGGAUGUUGAGUCUCUUGGCCUCUCUUCUGCUGCCUCUGAAGUAGUCGGGAUGUUUUCUUAGGAGAAGCUGGAUUGGGUUCUCUUCCCCCCACCCCCAGUAAUUGCAGGCAAACCCUCAUAUAUAUCUAAGCAGUCACACAAAGCCUGCCAUUCAUGGAAAGCAAGGGGAAAGAGCAGAAACUGCAUGCGAGAGGCUUUUGCCACCCCUGCAGGUCAUGAGUGCUCUAUGCUACUCAACAUGGGGUGGGGGGAAAUGUGAGCAGGCCUCGUGGGUUGGACAACCAACCCCACAGCUCCUAAGACCUAACAUGGACAGGGGAGUGCUCAGCCCCAUUCACGGCAAAAGUGGCCAUGGCUCAGCCCCUCCUUGCUGAGGACAGGGGCGGGAUUGCAUUCCCCUUCAUAGUCCCUAUAACCAAGGCUCUUUUUCCUUUGGCUCGUCGCACGGGACUAGAAUGGAGCCUUAGUUCUUGUCUGGUCACCAGUGUUGAUGACUAACAGGUUGUGCCUACACGUUCGAGCACGAGGGGCACAUCCGCCCGAUACACUGACAAUACAGUCUGUUCGCCAACUCUGAGCUUUCUGCUUUAACGCACAGUUCUGUUUGUUGGUAUGUUUACAUAAUCUUCAAAAUGUGGGCACUGAAAGGCAGACUUCCAAUGAUCUGAGACCAUUCCAAGUCCGACGUGGACCGCCUCCCUCCUGGUUUGUUUCAUGUAGCAUUCUGCAUUGUUGGGAUCCAAUUCUGCUCUGGCUGACGCCAGCUGAAUUUUUCCUUUUGGCUUCAGCGAGAGCAGGAUUGCGGCUUGUUCUCAGGAGCACUGAAAGAGGGGGAAGGGGGGAAUAACUAUCCUGCAUUUUAAGAAUAAGCUUGAUUGGAACCAAAUUUUUCUCUUUCCAUCUCCAAAUAAUUAAUACUGGUGUAGAGUGAACCAUUUACUAUAGACGUACAUCUGAAACCAAAACUGAUGUGAGGAUCCACAAGGAUGGGCUGGAAUUAACACCAGACCCCUGGAAGACCAGCUGUAGAGUGUUGGAAAUGCAGGUUGGCUAUCUUGAGCAAGAGCCGUAGCUAGUGUAUUGGUGUAGGUCCACAGACUCCAGCAGAGCUAUGCUGAUGUACACCAGCUAAAUGUAUGACCCUCCGGAUUCAAAACUAGCAAACUCCACAUCUAUUGCUUCUUGGGGACCUGUGGUAUAAAAGAGAACAGAAUUAAUUCUGGAAUUAGGGAGGUCCUGCAGCUGAGGUCCUGCCAAAGAUUAAAUAGCUCAGAAUGGCAAUAAUUUGACAGUAACACAGUAAUACCGAGAUUGUUGUUCAUAUAAAACAAUACAAGUUGUAUUGUUAUGGCACAUUUCAGUAAUGAGCUAAAAGGUCAGUAGCAGCUUAUAGGUGGAAAAUCUUGAAGGAAACUGGUUAGUGUGUCUAACAAUCCCUGCAGAUUAAUCACACUGAUUAGUGACACAGAAAGUUAAGAAAAGUAACUAGACUUGCUCGAAGCACUAGUGAACAUUUUCAUAAACUAAUCUUUGUAUGAGGAUAGUAUAAAUUGUCAGGAAUUACAUACAAAUUAAAAUGCAAAUUUGCAUACCUACCUACCAGUGGAAGAUACAAUUAAUAUCACUGUUGUGCCCCUCAUCCAACUUCUCAGCUAUGGAUUUUUUUUUUAAAUAUGGUAGCAUAUAAAAAGGUGUAAAUUGUACACAGUUGAAGAGAAGAAACAUUUUUCAGCUUCUUUUUUAAAAAAAAGGGACUGCAAACUUACUUUCCCCCCCUCCCCACUUAAAAUGCAAUUUUAUACAUGUGUUGCUUUAUAUAACAGAUAUUGAAUGUGAAUGUUACCUUUUAUGAAUGCAACUUGCCCUUUUUCAUUACAGAAACUUCUGUUUGAAGUAAUCAAUAAACUUUGGUAUGUUGUUCUGAU
Dermochelys coriacea (leatherback sea turtle) is the source of this 7634-nucleotide RNA transcript. It is a transcript of the gene named ATPase phospholipid transporting 11C, with no coding region annotated. Lineage: Eukaryota; Metazoa; Chordata; Testudines; Dermochelyidae. The record is from RefSeq and is a predicted model, not a curated record. The transcript is spliced from 30 exons.